CCUACGGGAGGCAGCAGUGAGGAAUAUUGGUCAAUGGACGAGAGUCUGAACCAGCCAAGUAGCGUGAAGGAUGACUGCCCUAUGGGUUGUAAACUUCUUUUAUAUGGGAAUAAAAUGUUCCACGUGUGGGACUUUGUAUGUACCAUAUGAAUAAGGAUCGGCUAACUCCGCGCCAGCAGCCGCGGUAAUACGGAGGAUCCGAGCGUUAUCUGGAUUUAUUGGGUUUAAAGGGAGCGUAGGUGGAUUGUUAAGUCAGUUGUGAAAGUUUGCGGCUCAACCGUAAAAUUGCAGUUGAAACUGGCAGUCUUGAGUACAGUAGAGGUGGGCGGAAUUCGUGGUGUAGCGGUGAAAUGCUUAGAUAUCACGAAGAACUCCGAUUGCGAAGGCAGCUCACUGGACUGCAACUGACACUGAGGCUCGAAAGUGUGGGUAUCAAACAGGAUUAGAUACCCUAGUAGUC
This 460-nucleotide ribosomal RNA is filed under the name uncultured bacterium. RNAcentral's name for it is "partial 16S ribosomal RNA". It matches the Rfam family "Bacterial small subunit ribosomal RNA", at positions 338 to 795 of the family's 1533-position model. The record is from RNAcentral.